GUCGAGCGGUAACAGGAGAAAGCUUGCUUUCUUGCUGACGAGCGGCGGACGGGUGAGUAAUGUAUGGGGAUCUGCCCGAUAGAGGGGGAUAACUACUGGAAACGGUGGCUAAUACCGCAUAAUGUCUACGGACCAAAGCAGGGGCUCUUCGGACCUUGCGCUAUCGGAUGAACCCAUAUGGGAUUAGCUAGUAGGUGGGGUAAAGGCUCACCUAGGCGACGAUCUCUAGCUGGUCUGAGAGGAUGAUCAGCCGCACUGGGACUGAGACACGGCCCAGACUC
Molecule: ribosomal RNA, 281 nt
Filed under: uncultured bacterium
Lineage: Bacteria
Description: partial 16S ribosomal RNA
Rfam family: Bacterial small subunit ribosomal RNA
Source: RNAcentral